CUGAGCUAUCAUUGGAUACAUUUUACUUCAUUGAACACCUGACUGCUGCUUUUUCUGUAAUCCCUCAGGGGCAGUCAUCUUUUCUGAUUCUGAGUAUAGUUUGCCUUUCCAGAUCCGUGCCAUUUAAGCUAGAAAAGGGGUCAGUUUUGAGAUGUGAAAAUGUUGAAAGGCUCCUCGUUAUUAGUGGGAAGUAUCUGAUGUUGCCAGAGACUGAACUGGGGCGCGGGGAGCACUACGGCUGCUAGACACUGCCUCACUGCGCUGUGGGUGGGGGAGGUGCUGGAUUCAGUCUUACUGCCUAAUGAUUUGUGAGGAUUUGUGUUUUCAGAGUAACAUGUUUACCUUAUGUUAUCAGUUCCUAAUAUGUGACGUAUGGGCCACAGAUGCUGGUGUAUUAUUUCACAUGCAUUUAUAUAGAUUGUUUUCAGGGAAUUCAGAAAUUCUGUUAUCUCUACACUAGUGAUUGUGCUUUCUUGAUUUUUCUCUUUUCAUUAUUCUUAAAUCCUCCUUUUUUUUAUUUGCAUCUCAGUUCGUUUAUACUCGGGAAGUGCAAGACAUGGCUACUAGAAAGAGAUGUCAAGAGAACCGGAAUCCAGUAGGCUACAAUUUGGCAAAUCUUAGCUUAAAACUUCCUAAAUGUUGACCACAGUGGAUGCAAAUGGCUCUGUGCAUCGUCUGUUCAAUAUGGUCAGGUGACCACCCAGGUUCACGUGGUUUGUCACCAGGGUGAUACGAGCCACAUGGAGUGCCCUCCUCAGAGGCCAUGUCUCAGAGAUGUGUAUUUUGAGUGGUUUUCCAGCAAGUGAUGCAAGAUUUAUGAUCCAUUUUAAGAGCCUGCUUUUUAUGCAUUUGCUCAAAUUUUUAGAUUUUAAGUUUAGUUUUAGGUUUUCUGUUAAACUUGCUCAACUAGGAGUGGUGGUCAAAUACUGGACCUCAUUAGCAUGGUAGCCUGCACACCUUGGCAGGCUCCACUGGAGUGCUUUGGGGCCUGCCUGGAUUCCAGUCCUGGCUCUACCAGUUUUGUGUCCUCGCCAUUACUGGGAGGGAGAAUUGAGGAAAUGCAUGUGAGGUGCUUCCCGUGAUUCCUGGCACGGAGCAAGUGCUCAGUAAUUGUCAGCUGUGAGUAUUAGUAGUAGCUAAUACACUACUACUAUUCUUGGCUAACAAGCCAGCUCAAAGCUUUGAUGGUUUUCCAUUACCUGAUGAUGGUGAUGAUGGUUUCCACUUCCUGAACACUCACACCCCUGGGCUAGGCACUUAACCCAAAUCCAAGGUCAGCGUUAUUGUUUGGGGGUGGGGGAGACACCUCCUGCUCUGACUCGUGUGUUUGGGUUCCCGUAUUUUCACCAGAGGGUGUUAGUCCUGCCCAAGUUCAGCUGGUCCUCAAAGCGUAUAUAGCUCUUUAACCCUCAGCAAGUGUCAGUCAGAACAUAAUCUUGAUUUCAGCUGCUACUAAAUAUCUACCAGGAGCCUGCUUGAGAGAGAGAAUUGCCUGACAGGUGCUGAGUCCACCAUUCCUGAGAUACUUUGAAAUCAGUGUCUGGCUUAACCCAAGCUGUGUAUGGGGACCCUCUCACCGUGGUCCCAAUGGAGUCGCUUUUGUUAGGCGCCCCCCUUUACCUUGGGCUCUGAGCUUCCUCUGCCUUUCAUCUCUGCAGGAUGAAGCCCCACCCGCCGUACAGGAUGCAAAGCCCUCCUCUAUAAAGUGCAUGCGGGGCCAGAUGCAGUGGCUCACGUCUGACCUCCCAACACCUUGGGAGGCCGAGGCAGGGGGAUCGUUUGAGACCAGCCUGGGCAACAUUGUGAGACCCUGUUCCUUGAAUUGCCCUGGGAGAUUUCCUCAGCUUGUGUUGGAGGCAUGUGGCCCCAUGAAGCCCGUAGUCACCGUUUACCCUGAGAGACGCUGGCUUUGGGGCUGACACACCUGCUGCGGGGCAGCCCCAGGAGAUGGCCACCCUGUUUCUCCUGGAGCUGGAGCUGCGCGUGUUCUCAGCAACUGUGGUGGCUGUCCUGUUUUGUUUGCAUCUUAUAAACCUUUACCUGAUUACAUUUUCCUCUUCAGUUUAGCUGCUAGAGAACUUAAAGUCAGAUUGGUGGCUCGCCAGUAAUGAGAGUUUAGAGUAGAGGUAAACUUUAUGACAUAGUCUUAGACUCUUCCGUUUCUCCUCAGCCAACAUGAUUCACAUUUACUUUAUUUUGCUGUACUGUGAGUGUCUUUGUGUUUCCUGAAUUCCUUCUGGAAUAAGGCAGGCUGGUAGUAAGCACAGGUUUCUGGUCCAUCUCAUAGCCUCAGGCAGUGGGUGGUGCUGUCCAUGCUCCCUUUCUGGGUUACCUGUGGUAGCUCUGAAGUUGCAGGGCUGCGAUUUGAAGCCUGAUUUAGUACACCGUGUUUCUGUCAUGUUCUGUGGUGGUUUGCUCCUGACAUGUGACCAUUCACCCUGUGGCCCUGUGUUUUUCCACCACACCUCUGCCUGGUGGCAUCCUACUGGAUGUCUCAGCCGAGCCACUCUGUUCUGAAGAUGCCCUUGUCCUCCACCCCUUUGCUUUGGGCUCUGAGCUUCUGCCUUUCAUCUCUGUAGGAUGAAGCCCCACCCGCCCUUCAGGAUGCCAGCCUUGGCAACAUUGUGAGACCCUGUUUCUACAAAAAGUAAACGUGUAGUGGUGCACGCCUGUAGUUCCAGCUACUUGGGAGGCUGAGAUGGGAAGAUCACUUCAGCCUGGGAGGUUGAGGCUGCAUUGAGCUGAGAUCAAGCCACGGCACUCCAGCCUGGGAGACAGAGCGAAACCCCAUCUCAAAAAAACAAAGAAAGUGGAUGCGCGCUGCUCCUGCCAUUGGAUCAUCGCAGCAUUUUUCUUUUCUCUGAUAUGCGCCUUUUUCCUCACCGUGGGGGCUCAUGUUUUCGUAGUUUCUUCUCGCUACUAGAUUGUGAGCUGCGUGAAGGAAGGUUCAUAGUUGUGUUGUAUGUACAGGCACACAAAAUUUGUCCUUGGAUAGACACAUAUCAGUCCGCUUCCUUCUCCUCUCUGAAUUUCUUUAUUUAAAAAAAAGAAUUAGAGAUGGAGUCUCACUGUCUUGCCCAGGCUGGUCUCAAACUCCUAGGCUCAAGCGAUCCUCCCGCCUCUACUAAUAUGAAUUAUUAGCCUAUACUAAUAUGAAUUCCUAUACUAAUAUGAUUGAAAUUAGUUUGACUUGUAUAAUAAUUGUUCUCCCAGAUUGGGCUUCUGUUUUGAUAGUAGAACUAAAUUAUUAGGCUAUUUCAAGAAAUUAAUAUAUUACUGGUAGAAAAACUGAAGCUACAAAAUGGCCUGGUUUCUCACUUCAGUUAAAUUUGUGCUUCUGAGUGCUUGUAUUGUAGGUGAAACCGCACUGAGAAGGUAUUUGUGGCCCGUACGCUGGUUCAUUGAUGAGACUUCUUUGCACAGGAGAGCCGCUAAAAAUUACUGUGGUGAACAGGUAUGAAGAAGACUGUUCUCUGCCCUUCUUUUUGCAAUAAAAUGUUACAAACUA
This 3508-nucleotide long non-coding RNA is filed under the name Homo sapiens (human). Its description in RNAcentral is "novel transcript". The record is from RNAcentral. Lineage: Eukaryota; Metazoa; Chordata; Mammalia; Primates; Hominidae.